CUACGUGCCAGCAGCCGCGGUAAUACGUAGGUGGCAAGCGUUGUCCGGAAUUAUUGGGCGUAAAGCGCGCGCAGGCGGAUCAGUUAGUCUGUCUUAAAAGUUCGGGGCUUAACCCCGUGAUGGGAUGGAAACUGCUGAUCUAGAGUAUCGGAGAGGAAAGUGGAAUUCCUAGUGUAGCGGUGAAAUGCGUAGAUAUUAGGAAGAACACCAGUGGCGAAGGCGACUUUCUGGACGAAAACUGACGCUGAGGCGCGAAAGCCAGGGGAGCGAACGGGAUUAGAUACCCCGGUAGUCCUGGCCGUAAACGAUGGGUACUAGGUGUAGGAGGUAUCGACCCCUUCUGUGCCGGAGUUGACGCAAUAAGUACCCCGCCUGGGGAGUACGACCGCAAGGUUGAAACUCAAAGGAAUUGACGGGGGCCCGCACAAGCGGUGGAGUAUGUGGUUUAAUUCGACGCAACGCGAAGAACCUUACCAGGUCUUGACAU
RNAcentral lists this ribosomal RNA (487 nucleotides) under uncultured bacterium. RNAcentral describes it as "bacterial SSU rRNA". It matches the Rfam family "Bacterial small subunit ribosomal RNA", at positions 501 to 987 of the family's 1533-position model. The record is from RNAcentral.